RNAcentral lists this ribosomal RNA (2757 nucleotides) under Escherichia coli. RNAcentral describes it as "bacterial LSU rRNA". It matches the Rfam family "Bacterial large subunit ribosomal RNA". The record is from RNAcentral. Lineage: Bacteria; Pseudomonadati; Pseudomonadota; Gammaproteobacteria; Enterobacterales; Enterobacteriaceae.
GGUUAAGCGACUAAGCGUACACGGUGGAUGCCCUGGCAGUCAGAGGCGAUGAAGGACGUGCUAAUCUGCGAUAAGCGUCGGUAAGGUGAUAUGAACCGUUAUAACCGGCGAUUUCCGAAUGGGGAAACCCAGUGUGUUUCGACACACUAUCAUUAACUGAAUCCAUAGGUUAAUGAGGCGAACCGGGGGAACUGAAACAUCUAAGUACCCCGAGGAAAAGAAAUCAACCGAGAUUCCCCCAGUAGCGGCGAGCGAACGGGGAGCAGCCCAGAGCCUGAAUCAGUAUGUGUGUUAGUGGAAGCGUCUGGAAAGGCGCGCGAUACAGGGUGACAGCCCCGUACACAAAAAUGCACAUGCUGUGAGCUCGAUGAGUAGGGCGGGACACGUGGUAUCCUGUCUGAAUAUGGGGGGACCAUCCUCCAAGGCUAAAUACUCCUGACUGACCGAUAGUGAACCAGUACCGUGAGGGAAAGGCGAAAAGAACCCCGGCGAGGGGAGUGAAAAAGAACCUGAAACCGUGUACGUACAAGCAGUGGGAGCUCGCUUAGGCGUGUGACUGCGUACCUUUUGUAUAAUGGGUCAGCGACUUAUAUUCUGUAGCAAGGUUAACCGAAUAGGGGAGCCGAAGGGAAACCGAGUCUUAACUGGGCGUUAAGUUGCAGGGUAUAGACCCGAAACCCGGUGAUCUAGCCAUGGGCAGGUUGAAGGUUGGGUAACACUAACUGGAGGACCGAACCGACUAAUGUUGAAAAAUUAGCGGAUGACUUGUGGCUGGGGGUGAAAGGCCAAUCAAACCGGGAGAUAGCUGGUUCUCCCCGAAAGCUAUUUAGGUAGCGCCUCGUGAAUUCAUCUCCGGGGGUAGAGCACUGUUUCGGCAAGGGGGUCAUCCCGACUUACCAACCCGAUGCAAACUGCGAAUACCGGAGAAUGUUAUCACGGGAGACACACGGCGGGUGCUAACGUCCGUCGUGAAGAGGGAAACAACCCAGACCGCCAGCUAAGGUCCCAAAGUCAUGGUUAAGUGGGAAACGAUGUGGGAAGGCCCAGACAGCCAGGAUGUUGGCUUAGAAGCAGCCAUCAUUUAAAGAAAGCGUAAUAGCUCACUGGUCGAGUCGGCCUGCGCGGAAGAUGUAACGGGGCUAAACCAUGCACCGAAGCUGCGGCAGCGACGCUUAUGCGUUGUUGGGUAGGGGAGCGUUCUGUAAGCCUGCGAAGGUGUGCUGUGAGGCAUGCUGGAGGUAUCAGAAGUGCGAAUGCUGACAUAAGUAACGAUAAAGCGGGUGAAAAGCCCGCUCGCCGGAAGACCAAGGGUUCCUGUCCAACGUUAAUCGGGGCAGGGUGAGUCGACCCCUAAGGCGAGGCCGAAAGGCGUAGUCGAUGGGAAACAGGUUAAUAUUCCUGUACUUGGUGUUACUGCGAAGGGGGGACGGAGAAGGCUAUGUUGGCCGGGCGACGGUUGUCCCGGUUUAAGCGUGUAGGCUGGUUUUCCAGGCAAAUCCGGAAAAUCAAGGCUGAGGCGUGAUGACGAGGCACUACGGUGCUGAAGCAACAAAUGCCCUGCUUCCAGGAAAAGCCUCUAAGCAUCAGGUAACAUCAAAUCGUACCCCAAACCGACACAGGUGGUCAGGUAGAGAAUACCAAGGCGCUUGAGAGAACUCGGGUGAAGGAACUAGGCAAAAUGGUGCCGUAACUUCGGGAGAAGGCACGCUGAUAUGUAGGUGAAGUCCCUCGCGGAUGGAGCUGAAAUCAGUCGAAGAUACCAGCUGGCUGCAACUGUUUAUUAAAAACACAGCACUGUGCAAACACGAAAGUGGACGUAUACGGUGUGACGCCUGCCCGGUGCCGGAAGGUUAAUUGAUGGGGUUAGCGCAAGCGAAGCUCUUGAUCGAAGCCCCGGUAAACGGCGGCCGUAACUAUAACGGUCCUAAGGUAGCGAAAUUCCUUGUCGGGUAAGUUCCGACCUGCACGAAUGGCGUAAUGAUGGCCAGGCUGUCUCCACCCGAGACUCAGUGAAAUUGAACUCGCUGUGAAGAUGCAGUGUACCCGCGGCAAGACGGAAAGACCCCGUGAACCUUUACUAUAGCUUGACACUGAACAUUGAGCCUUGAUGUGUAGGAUAGGUGGGAGGCUUUGAAGUGUGGACGCCAGUCUGCAUGGAGCCGACCUUGAAAUACCACCCUUUAAUGUUUGAUGUUCUAACGUUGACCCGUAAUCCGGGUUGCGGACAGUGUCUGGUGGGUAGUUUGACUGGGGCGGUCUCCUCCUAAAGAGUAACGGAGGAGCACGAAGGUUGGCUAAUCCUGGUCGGACAUCAGGAGGUUAGUGCAAUGGCAUAAGCCAGCUUGACUGCGAGCGUGACGGCGCGAGCAGGUGCGAAAGCAGGUCAUAGUGAUCCGGUGGUUCUGAAUGGAAGGGCCAUCGCUCAACGGAUAAAAGGUACUCCGGGGAUAACAGGCUGAUACCGCCCAAGAGUUCAUAUCGACGGCGGUGUUUGGCACCUCGAUGUCGGCUCAUCACAUCCUGGGGCUGAAGUAGGUCCCAAGGGUAUGGCUGUUCGCCAUUUAAAGUGGUACGCGAGCUGGGUUUAGAACGUCGUGAGACAGUUCGGUCCCUAUCUGCCGUGGGCGCUGGAGAACUGAGGGGGGCUGCUCCUAGUACGAGAGGACCGGAGUGGACGCAUCACUGGUGUUCGGGUUGUCAUGCCAAUGGCACUGCCCGGUAGCUAAAUGCGGAAGAGAUAAGUGCUGAAAGCAUCUA